Long non-coding RNA from Trichogramma pretiosum, 427 nucleotides. RefSeq lists it as uncharacterized. Lineage: Eukaryota; Metazoa; Arthropoda; Insecta; Hymenoptera; Trichogrammatidae. The record is from RefSeq and is a predicted model, not a curated record. The transcript has 3 exons.
CUUCAUAGUCGAGUUCAGAAUGCGUCAAUAACAGUCGUUCGACCGAUCGAGCCGCUCUCGGUGCACGCUGACUUUGUUGACUCCACAGAAACGAACGAGCACAAUGCAGUUGUUUCAUUUUUUCAUGAUUUUUGUUUUGGCUAUUAUUCUUUCUUUUGCCCGGCUAUCGAACGCAGAAUGUUCGAGUGACUACGAAUGUUACGUGGAUUGCCGAAAAUCAAAUUAUUACAAGGGUGGAAAGUGCAUACAGGGAAACAAAGGUUGUACCUGCACAUUUUCUUAAAUCACAUGAAGCCACGAUAAUUCAAUGGACAUUCGUAGAUUUUAAAUAUAAGGUUUUUAAGUGUUGCAGCGGUAAUUCAGCCAUAACUUGGAGUUCGAUUUCUGUCGUGCCGAAUGGCUCGCACGCAGGUAAGCUGAAUUCCAG